UGGCGCAGCUACCAUGCAGUCGAGCGGUAGCACAGAGAGCUUGCUCUCGGGUGACGAGCGGCGGACGGGUGAGUAAUGUCUGGGAAACUGCCUGAUGGAGGGGGAUAACUACUGGAAACGGUAGCUAAUACCGCAUAACGUCGCAAGACCAAAGUGGGGGACCUUCGGGCCUCAUGCCAUCAGAUGUGCCCAGAUGGGAUUAGCUAGUAGGUGGGGUAACGGCUCACCUAGGCGACGAUCCCUAGCUGGUCUGAGAGGAUGACCAGCCACACUGGAACUGAGACACGGUCCAGACUCCUACGGGAGGCAGCAGUGGGGAAUAUUGCACAAUGGGCGCAAGCCUGAUGCAGCCAUGCCGCGUGUGUGAAGAAGGCCUUCGGGUUGUAAAGCACUUUCAGCGGGGAGGAAGGCGUUAAGGUUAAUAACCUUGGCGAUUGACGUUACCCGCAGAAGAAGCACCGGCUAACUCCGUGCCAGCAGCCGCGGUAAUACGGAGGGUGCAAGCGUUAAUCGGAAUUACUGGGCGUAAAGCGCACGCAGGCGGUCUGUCAAGUCGGAUGUGAAAUCCCCGGGCUCAACCUGGGAACUGCAUUCGAAACUGGCAGGCUAGAGUCUUGUAGAGGGGGGUAGAAUUCCAGGUGUAGCGGUGAAAUGCGUAGAGAUCUGGAGGAAUACCGGUGGCGAAGGCGGCCCCCUGGACAAAGACUGACGCUCAGGUGCGAAAGCGUGGGGAGCAAACAGGAUUAGAUACCCUGGUAGUCCACGCCGUAAACGAUGUCGAUUUGGAGGUUGUGCCCUUGAGGCGUGGCUUCCGGAGCUAACGCGUUAAAUCGACCGCCUGGGGAGUACGGCCGCAAGGUUAAAACUCAAAUGAAUUGACGGGGGCCCGCACAAGCGGUGGAGCAUGUGGUUUAAUUCGAUGCAACGCGAAGAACCUUACCUGGUCUUGACAUCCACAGAACUUAGCAGAGAUGGAUUGGUGCCUUCGGGAACUGUGAGACAGGUGCUGCAUGGCUGUCGUCAGCUCGUGUUGUGAAAUGUUGGGUUAAGUCCCGCAACGAGCGCAACCCUUAUCCUUUGUUGCCAGCGGUCCGGCCGGGAACUCAAAGGAGACUGCCAGUGAUAAACUGGAGGAAGGUGGGGAUGACGUCAAGUCAUCAUGGCCCUUACGACCAGGGCUACACACGUGCUACAAUGGCAUAUACAAAGAGAAGCGACCUCGCGAGAGCAAGCGGACCUCAUAAAGUAUGUCGUAGUCCGGAUUGGAGUCUGCAACUCGACUCCAUGAAGUCGGAAUCGCUAGUAAUCGUAGAUCAGAAUGCUACGGUGAAUACGUUCCCGGGCCUUGUACACACCGCCCGUCACACCAUGGGAGUGGGUUGCAAAAGAAGUAGGUAGCUUAACCUUCGGGAGGGCGCUACCACUUGGAU
This 1430-nucleotide ribosomal RNA is filed under the name Klebsiella sp. Its description in RNAcentral is "bacterial SSU rRNA". It matches the Rfam family "Bacterial small subunit ribosomal RNA". The record is from RNAcentral. Lineage: Bacteria; Pseudomonadati; Pseudomonadota; Gammaproteobacteria; Enterobacterales; Enterobacteriaceae.